This 71-nucleotide transfer RNA is filed under the name Roseburia sp. AM51-8. Its description in RNAcentral is "tRNA-Arg". It matches the Rfam family "tRNA". From Rfam's summary of the family: Transfer RNA (tRNA) molecules are approximately 80 nucleotides in length. Their secondary structure includes four short double-helical elements and three loops (D, anti-codon, and T loops). Further hydrogen bonds mediate the characteristic L-shaped molecular structure. tRNAs have two regions of fundamental functional importance: the anti-codon, which is responsible for specific mRNA codon recognition, and the 3' end, to which the tRNAs corresponding amino acid is attached (by aminoacyl-tRNA synthetases). tRNAs cope with the degeneracy of the genetic code in two manners: having more than one tRNA (with a specific anti-codon) for a particular amino acid; and 'wobble' base-pairing, i.e. permitting non-standard base-pairing at the 3rd anti-codon position. The record is from RNAcentral. Lineage: Bacteria; Bacillati; Bacillota; Clostridia; Lachnospirales; Lachnospiraceae. RNAcentral also lists the same sequence under 1 other name.
CGCGGAUUGAUGCAAAGGUAGCAUAUCGGUUUCCUAGGCCGACUAUGGUGGUUCAAGUCCGCCGUCCGCAA